GUGGGCACAGCUCAGAGGUAGAGCAUUUGACUACAGAUCAAGAGAUCCCCAAAGCAAAUUUGUGUGCUAACU
RNAcentral lists this transfer RNA (72 nucleotides) under Cavia porcellus (domestic guinea pig). It matches the Rfam family "tRNA". From Rfam's summary of the family: Transfer RNA (tRNA) molecules are approximately 80 nucleotides in length. Lineage: Eukaryota; Metazoa; Chordata; Mammalia; Rodentia; Caviidae. The record is from Rfam by way of RNAcentral.